AUCAGUAGCAGAUCGUUUGCAUUCGCGCAGGUGGACGUUGGUCGCAGGUGGACGCUGAACUUCUCAAUGCUUGGACACAACUUUUCCUCCUAGUGAACCUGAGCCUUCAAAUAUCUUUCAUUGAUUUUGAUGAGCACUAUGAAAGCUGUUCCCAGAUCGCGUGUGAAGUUGCAGCUCUGGUAGAUGGAAUGGCUACCUCUAAACGUCUUAUAUUUCUCCAACUGUGGUAGUCUUCAAGUAUAGCGUUACGGAAGGUCAUGAUGGAAAUAGGUGCUGUGAAUGGCAGUGUUAUUGGAAACAAUGAAGUUAAUUGGGCCGUUCUCAUUCGUCAAGCAAAGAGCGCU
Molecule: long non-coding RNA, 344 nt
Organism: Armigeres subalbatus
Lineage: Eukaryota; Metazoa; Arthropoda; Insecta; Diptera; Culicidae
Exons: 3
Source: RefSeq, a predicted model, not a curated record